GAUGAACGCUGGCGGCGUGCCUAAUACAUGCAAGUCGAGCGAACAGAUCAGGAGCUUGCUCCUCUGACGUUAGCGGCGGACGGGUGAGUAACACGUGGAUAACCUACCUAUAAGACUGGGAUAACUUCGGGAAACCGGAGCUAAUACCGGAUAAUAUAUUGAACCGCAUUGUUCAAUAGUUAAAGACGGUUUUUCUGACACUUAUAGAUGGCUCCGCGCCGCAUUCACUAGUUGGUAAGGUAACGGCUUACCAACGCUACGAUGCGUAGCCGCCCUAAGCGGGUCAUCCGCCACCCUGGAACUGAGACACGUUCCAGACUCCUACGGGAGGAAGCAGUAGGGAAUCCUCCGCAAUGGGGGAGUGCCUGACGGAGCAACGCCGCGGGAGGGAUGAAGGACUUCGGACCGUAAAACUCUGUUAUUAGGGAAGUUCAAAUGUGCAAGUACCUAGGCAGGUCUUGACGGUACCGAAACAGAAAGCCACGGCUAACUCCGUG
RNAcentral lists this ribosomal RNA (497 nucleotides) under uncultured bacterium. Its description in RNAcentral is "partial 16S ribosomal RNA". It matches the Rfam family "Bacterial small subunit ribosomal RNA", at positions 28 to 507 of the family's 1533-position model. The record is from RNAcentral.